AUUGAACGCUGGCGGAAUGCUUUACACAUGCAAGUCGAGCGGCAGCGCGGGGCAACCUGGCGGCGAGCGGCGAACGGGUGAGUAAUGCAUCGGAACAUGUCCAUGUCGUGGGGGAUAGCCCGGCGAAAGCCGGAUUAAUACCGCAUACGCCCGAGAGGGGAAAGUGGGGACCGCAAGGCCUCAUGCGAUUGGGUUGGCCGAUGUCCGAUUAGCUAGUUGGCGGGGUAAGAGCCCACCAAGGCGAUGAUCGGUAGCUGGUCUGAGAGGAUGAUCAGCCACACUGGGACUGAGACACGGCCCAGACUCCUACGGGAGCAGCAGUGGGGAAUUUGGACAAUGGGGGCAACCCUGAUCCAGCCAUUCCGCGUGAGU
This 372-nucleotide ribosomal RNA is filed under the name uncultured bacterium. Its description in RNAcentral is "bacterial SSU rRNA". It matches the Rfam family "Bacterial small subunit ribosomal RNA", at positions 29 to 406 of the family's 1533-position model. The record is from RNAcentral.